RNAcentral lists this ribosomal RNA (253 nucleotides) under uncultured bacterium. RNAcentral's name for it is "partial 16S ribosomal RNA". It matches the Rfam family "Bacterial small subunit ribosomal RNA", at positions 524 to 776 of the family's 1533-position model. The record is from RNAcentral.
UACGGGGGGGGCAAGCGUUGUUCGGAAUUACUGGGCGUAAAGCGUGCUCAGGCGGUCUUGCAAGACAGGUGUGAAAUCCCCGGGCUUAACCUGGGAACUGCACUUGUGACUGCAAGGCUGGAGUACGGCAGAGGGGGAUGGAAUUCCGCGUGUAGCAGUGAAAUGCGUAGAUAUGCGGAGGAACACCGAUGGCGAAGGCAAUCCCCUGGGCCUGUACUGACGCUCAUGCACGAAAGCGUGGGGAGCAAACAGG